This 81-nucleotide small nuclear RNA is filed under the name Canis lupus familiaris (dog). RNAcentral describes it as "U4 spliceosomal RNA". It matches the Rfam family "U4 spliceosomal RNA", at positions 1 to 80 of the family's 138-position model. Rfam says of the family: U4 small nuclear RNA (U4 snRNA) is a component of the major U2-dependent spliceosome. The structure of U4 snRNA from yeast and human has been reported. RNAcentral also lists the same sequence under 1 other name. The record is from Rfam by way of RNAcentral. Lineage: Eukaryota; Metazoa; Chordata; Mammalia; Carnivora; Canidae.
AGCUUUGCGCAGUGGCAGUAUCGUAGCCAAUGAGGUUUAUCCGAGGCGCGAUUAUUGCUAAUUGAAAACUAAACAACAAGU